ACCAGACUCCUACGGGAGGCAGCAGUGGGGAAUAUUGGGCAAUGGGCGCAAGCCUGACCCAGUAACGCCGCGUGAAGGAAGAAGGCUUUCGGGUUGUAAAGCUCUGUCAAUCGGGACGAAGAAGAUGACGGUACCGAUGAAGGAAGCUCCGGCUAACUACGUGCCAGCAGCCGCGGUAAUACGUAGGGAGCAAGCGUUGUCCGGAAUUACUGGGUGUAAAGGGAGCGUAGGCGGGAAUGCAAGUUGGAAGUGAAAGGUAUGGGCUCAACCCAUGAACUGCUUUCAAAACUGUAUUUCUUGAGUGAAGUAGAGGCAGGCGGAAUUCCUAGUGUAGCGGUGAAAUGCGUAGAUAUUAGGAGGAACACCAGUGGCGAAGGCGGCCUGCUGGGCUUUAACUGACGCUGAGGCUCGAAAGCGUGGGUAGCAAACAGGAUUAGAUACCCCAGUACCA
This 451-nucleotide ribosomal RNA is filed under the name uncultured bacterium. RNAcentral's name for it is "bacterial SSU rRNA". It matches the Rfam family "Bacterial small subunit ribosomal RNA", at positions 330 to 797 of the family's 1533-position model. The record is from RNAcentral.